ACGGAUAACAUACCGAAAGGUAUGCUAAUACGGGAUAAUAUAUUUGAGAGGCAUCUCUUAAAUAUCAAAGGUGAGCCAGUACAGGAUGGACCCGCGUCUGAUUAGCUAGUUGGUAAGGUAACGGCUUACCAAGGCGACGAUCAGUAGCCGACCUGAGAGGGUGAUCGGCCACAUUGGAACUGAGACACGGUCCAAACUCCUACGGGAGGCAGCAGUGGGGAAUAUUGCACAAUGGGCGAAAGCCUGAUGCAGCAACGCCGCGUGAGUGAUGAAGGCCUUCGGGUCGUAAAACUCUGUCCUCAAGGAAGAUAAUGACGGUACUUGAGGAGGAAGCCCCGGCUAACUACGUGCCAGCAGCCGCGGUAAUACGUAGGGGGCUAGCGUUAUCCGGAUUUACUGGGCGUAAAGGGUGCGUAGGCGGUCUUUCAAGUCAGGAGUGAAAGGCUACGGCUCAACCGUAGUAAGCUCUUGAAACUGGGAGACUUGAGUGCAGGAGAGGAGAGUGGAAUUCCUAGUGUAGCGGUGAAAUGCGUAGAUAUUAGGAGGAACACCAGUUGCGAAGGCGGCUCUCUGGACUGUAACUGACGCUGAGGCACGAAAGCGUGGGGAGCAAACAGGAUUAGAUACCCUGGUAGUCCACGCUGUAAACGAUGAGUACUAGGCGUCGGGGGUUACCCCCUUCGGUGCCGCAG
This 692-nucleotide ribosomal RNA is filed under the name uncultured bacterium. RNAcentral describes it as "bacterial SSU rRNA". It matches the Rfam family "Bacterial small subunit ribosomal RNA", at positions 139 to 851 of the family's 1533-position model. The record is from RNAcentral.